UUGAACUUAUGGAACUAAUUGAAGCCUUUGAAAAGCCCAGGCCCGUUUGUCUAAGGACUAACACUUUGAAGACACGCAGAUGGGAUUUGGCAGAUGUUUAAUAAAUAGAGGAGUAAAUCUAGAUCCUUUAAGCAAGUGGUCAAAGGUUGGACUUGUUGUAUAUGAUUCUCAAGUGCCAAUUGGUGCCACUCCGGAGUAUAUGGCUGGUUUCUACAUGGUGCAUAGU
Arachis ipaensis is the source of this 226-nucleotide non-coding RNA. The record is from RefSeq and is a predicted model, not a curated record. Lineage: Eukaryota; Viridiplantae; Streptophyta; Magnoliopsida; Fabales; Fabaceae.